UGGGGAAUAUUGGACAAUGGGCGCAAGCCUGAUCCAGCAAUGCCGCGUGUGUGAAGAAGGCCUUCGGGUUGUAAAGCACUUUUAUCAGGAGCGAAACGCUGUCGGCUAAUACCCGGCGGAACUGACGGUACCUGAGGAAUAAGCACCGGCUAACUUCGUGCCAGCAGCCGCGGUAAUACGAAGGGUGCAAGCGUUAAUCGGAAUUACUGGGCGUAAAGCGUGCGUAGGCGGUUUCUUAAGUCUGCUGUGAAAUCCCCGGGCUCAACCUGGGAAUGGCAGUGGAUACUGGGAGGCUAGAGUGUGUCAGAGGGUGGUGGAAUUCCCGGUGUAGCGGUGAAAUGCGUAGAGAUCGGGAGGAACAUCAGUGGCGAAGGCGGCCACCUGGGACAACACUGACGCUGAGGCACGAAAGCGUGGGGAGCAAACAGGAUUAGGAUACCCUGGUAGUCCACGCCCUAAACGAUGCGAACUGGAUGUUGGUCUCAACUCGGAGAUCAGUGUCGAAGCUAACGCGUUAAGUUCGCCGCCUGGGGAGUACGGUCGCAAGACUGAAACUCAAAUGAAUUGACGGGGUCAUAGCUGUUUCCUG
Molecule: ribosomal RNA, 589 nt
Filed under: uncultured bacterium
Lineage: Bacteria
Description: partial 16S ribosomal RNA
Rfam family: Bacterial small subunit ribosomal RNA
Source: RNAcentral